RNAcentral lists this ribosomal RNA (250 nucleotides) under uncultured archaeon. Its description in RNAcentral is "partial 16S ribosomal RNA". It matches the Rfam family "Archaeal small subunit ribosomal RNA", at positions 474 to 724 of the family's 1478-position model. The record is from RNAcentral.
UCCCAGCGGUCCAAGUCGCAACCACAUUUGUUGGGUCUAAAACAUUCGUAGCUUGCUUAGUAAGUCGCUUGUGAAAUCCCCUCUCAUGAGGAGGGAAGUGCACGCGAUACUGCUGAGCUCGAGACCGGGAGACGCAUUGAGUACCCACAGAGUACCGGUAAAAUGGGUUGAUCCUGUGGGGACUAACACUAGCGAAGGCAUGAUGCGAGCACGGAUCUGACAGUGAGGAAUGAAGGCUAGGGGCGCAAAA